This 475-nucleotide ribosomal RNA is filed under the name uncultured organism. RNAcentral describes it as "partial 16S ribosomal RNA". It matches the Rfam family "Bacterial small subunit ribosomal RNA", at positions 335 to 801 of the family's 1533-position model. The record is from RNAcentral.
ACUCCUGCGGGAGGCAGCAGUGGGGAAUUUUGGACAAUGGGCGAAAGCCUGAUCCAGCAAUGCCGCGUGAGUGAAGAAGGCCUUCGGGUUGUAAAGCUCUUUUGUCAGGGAAGAAACGGUGAAAGCUAAUAUCUUUUGCUAAUGACGGUACCUGAAGAAUAAGCACCGGCUAACUACGUGCCAGCAGCCGCGGUAAUACGUAGGGUGCAAGCGUUAAUCGGAAUUACUGGGCGUAAAGCGUGCGCAGGCGGUUUUGUAAGUCUGAUGUGAAAUCCCCGGGCUCAACCUGGGAAUUGCAUUGGAGACUGCAAGGCUAGAAUCUGGCAGAGGGGGGUAGAAUUCCACGUGUAGCAGUGAAAUGCGUAGAUAUGUGGAGGAACACCGAUGGCGAAGGCAGCCCCCUGGGUCAAGAUUGACGCUCAUGCACGAAAGCGUGGGGAGCAAACAGGAUUAGAUACCCUUGUAGUCCCAUGAU